UGCACAAUGGGCGCAAGCCUGAUGCAGCGACGCCGCGUGAGGGAUGACGGCCUUCGGGUUGUAAACCUCUUUCAGUAGGGAAGAAGCGAAAGUGACGGUACCUGCAGAAGAAGCACCGGCUAACUACGUGCCAGCAGCCGCGGUAAUACGUAGGGUGCGAGCGUUAUCCGGAAUUAUUGGGCGUAAAGAGCUCGUAGGCGGUUUGUCGCGUCUGUCGUGAAAGUCCGGGGCUUAACCCCGGAUCUGCGGUGGGUACGGGCAGACUAGAGUGCAGUAGGGGAGACUGGAAUUCCUGGUGUAGCGGUGGAAUGCGCAGAUAUCAGGAGGAACACCGAUGGCGAAGGCAGGUCUCUGGGCUGUAACUGACGCUGAGGAGCGAAAGCAUGGGGAGCGAACAGGAUUAGAUACCCUGGUAGUCCAUGCCGUAAACGUUGGGCACUAGGUGUGGGGACCAUUCCACGGUUUCCGCGCCGCAGCUAACGCAUUAAGUGCCCCGCCUGGGGAGUACGGCCGCAAGGCUAAAACUCAAAGGAAUUGACGGGGGCCCGCACAAGCGGCGGAGCAUGCGGAUUAAUUCGAUGCAACGCGAAGAACCUUACCAAGGCUUGACAUGUUCUCGAUCGCCGUAGAGAUACGGUUUCCCCUUUGGGGCGGGUUCACAGGUGGUGCAUGGUUGUCGUCAGCUCGUGUCGUGAGAUGUUGGGUUAAGUCCCGCAACGAGCGCAACCCUCGUUCCAUGUUGCCAGCACGUAGUGGUGGGGACUCAUGGGAGACUGCCGGGGUCAACUCGGAGGAAGGUGAGGACGACGUCAAAUCAUCAUGCCCCUUAUGUCUUGGGCUUCACGCAUGCUACAAUGGCCGGUACAAUGGGUUGCGAUACUGUGAGGUGGAGCUAAUCCCAAAAAGCCGGUCUCAGUUCGGAUUGGGGUCUGCAACUCGACCCCAUGAAGUCGGAGUCGCUAGUAAUCGCAGAUCAGCAACGCUGCGGUGAAUACGUUCCCGGGCCUUGU
This 1010-nucleotide ribosomal RNA is filed under the name Micrococcus luteus. RNAcentral describes it as "bacterial SSU rRNA". It matches the Rfam family "Bacterial small subunit ribosomal RNA", at positions 365 to 1384 of the family's 1533-position model. The record is from RNAcentral. Lineage: Bacteria; Bacillati; Actinomycetota; Actinomycetes; Micrococcales; Micrococcaceae.